CCUACGGGUGGCAGCAGUGAGGAAUAUUGGUCAAUGGGCGAGAGCCUGAACCAGCCAAGUAGCGUGAAGGAUGACUGCCCUACGGGUUGUAAACUUCGUUUAUAAAGGAAUAAAGUGAGGCACGUGUGCCUUUUUGUAUGUACUUUAUGAAUAAGGAUCGGGUAACUCCGGGCCAGCAGCCGCGGUAAUACGGAGGAUCCGAGGGUUAACCGGAAUUAAUGGGUUUAAAGGGAGCGUAGGUGGGUUGUUAAGUCAGUUGUGAAAGUUUGCGGCUCAACCGUAAAAUUGCAUUUGAUACUGGCAGCCUUGAGUACAGUAGAGGUAGGCGGAAUUCGUGGUGUAGCGGUGAAAUGCUUAGAUAUCACGAAGAACUCCGAUUGCGAAGGCAGCCUACUAGACUGCCACUGACAUUGAUGCUCGAAAGUGUGGGUAUCAAACAGGAUUAGAUACCCCAGUAGUC
This 460-nucleotide ribosomal RNA is filed under the name uncultured bacterium. RNAcentral's name for it is "partial 16S ribosomal RNA". It matches the Rfam family "Bacterial small subunit ribosomal RNA", at positions 338 to 795 of the family's 1533-position model. The record is from RNAcentral.